UCUCCCCUUCCUGGGACCCUGAAAAUGGGUGUGGGCCCCCGGUUCUCAGGAAGGGACUUUGCUCGAGACUGGGGCCCCACCCCAGUGGAUCGUUAACCGGGAUGUGAGGAGCAGCUGUGGGCUGACAGAAGCCUCACCCUUUUCCCCCUUCUCUCCUUUCUGCCUCUCUGGAUCUCCCCCUCGGCCGCCUGUAAUGGGAGAGCAUCUGGGGGCAAGACCUGGGUUCAAGUCCCACUUCCACCCCUUGUUGACAGUGGACCUUAGACAGGUCAUUUCUCUUGAGACUCAGUUUAUUCUUCUGGAAAAUGGGGCUGAUGUCACCCCCUGCCCGCAGAGUUGUGGCUACAAGGGAAAAGUGUCUGCUGUCUGGGGAACCCCAUCCACGACAAUCGGUUUUGGAGUCAGACAACCUGAGUAUCCCAAAUUCUCUUCUGUGGCUUCUCACCGCACCCUCCUGCCCCAGCCUCAGGAAUUUUGCCACCUGGAGAACCAAGUCAUCUGAGGAACGGAGAGGUGUGGAAUCAUGGGAUGAAAAAGAAUAUAUAUUUUAAAAUUAUGGACCAUAAUGUGGAGAAUUGCGUGACAUAGAAUGUUCCAUUUUGUGAACAGUUAGGCUCAGAAAUGGUUCUGCCAUUUCCUCAGAAGCCUCUUCAGAACUCACUUGCCUCUCCCUCCUCUCAAGGAUAGAGGCUCAAUGAAUAUUUACUGAAUGAAUGAAUCUGAGACUCCAGGGAUCCAAGAUACUUGCCAUGGUGGAACUUUAGGAGCAAAGACGAACAGAAUUUAAGUCAUGAAGAAUGAUCAGGUCAGAGAGUCUUAGGAGCUAAAGAAUGAUCAAAAAGCAUCUUUGGGGCUUCCCUGGUGGUGCAGUGGUUGAGAGUCCGCCUGCCGAUGCAGGGGACACGGGUUCAUGCCCCGGUCCGGGAGGAUCCCACGUGCCGCGGAGCGGCUGGGCCCG
Lagenorhynchus albirostris (white-beaked dolphin) is the source of this 958-nucleotide long non-coding RNA. RefSeq lists it as uncharacterized. The record is from RefSeq and is a predicted model, not a curated record. The transcript has 4 exons. Lineage: Eukaryota; Metazoa; Chordata; Mammalia; Artiodactyla; Delphinidae.